RNAcentral lists this small nucleolar RNA (84 nucleotides) under Ochotona princeps (American pika). Its description in RNAcentral is "Small nucleolar RNA SNORA74 (ENSOPRG00000022269.1)". Lineage: Eukaryota; Metazoa; Chordata; Mammalia; Lagomorpha; Ochotonidae. The record is from RNAcentral.
CCCAGCUGUGGGCAGCUGCCUCGGUGGCGUUGUACGCCAGUGUUACACUGCUGGGAGACAAGCAGCUAAUAACUGGAGGACAUU